AAGACCUUGCGCUUUUGGAGCGGCCGAUGCCUGAUUAGCUAGUUGGGGGGGUAAUGGCCUACCAAAGCUUCGAUCAGUAGCUGGUCUGAGAGGACGGCCAGCCACACUGGGACUGAGACACGGCCCAGACUCCUACGGGAGGCAGCAGUGGGGAAUUUUGGACAAUGGGCGCAAGCCUGAUCCAGCCAUGCCGCGUGAGUGAAGAAGGCCUUCGGGUUGUAAAGCUCUUUCAGCCGGGAAGAAAAGGUUGCGAUUAAUAAUCGCAAUUUAUGACGGUACCGGAAGAAGAAGCACCGGCUAACUACGUGCCAGCAGCCGCGGUAAUACGUAGGGUGCGAGCGUUAAUCGGAAUUACUGGGCGUAAAGGGUGCGCAGGCGGUUUUGUAAGUCAGAUGUGAAAUCCCCGGGCUUAACCUGGGAACU
Molecule: ribosomal RNA, 423 nt
Filed under: uncultured bacterium
Lineage: Bacteria
Description: bacterial SSU rRNA
Rfam family: Bacterial small subunit ribosomal RNA
Source: RNAcentral